RNAcentral lists this transfer RNA (362 nucleotides) under uncultured Microcystis sp. RNAcentral describes it as "partial 16S-23S ribosomal RNA intergenic spacer". The stretch from base 136 to 209 matches the Rfam family "tRNA". The record is from RNAcentral. Lineage: Bacteria; Bacillati; Cyanobacteriota; Cyanophyceae; Chroococcales; Microcystaceae.
AAAGGGAGACCUAAUUCCGGUAGGAGACGAAAAAAAAGUAGUCCCAACCAAGAAUCAAUCCCAAAAGGUCGAAGCGAGGCAAGAUUGGCUUUCAAACUAGGUUCUGGGUUCAAACAAGACCUGAAUCAGGAACAAGGGCUAUUAGCUCAGGUGGUUAGAGCGCACCCCUGAUAAGGGUGAGGUCCCUGGUUCGAGUCCAGGAUGGCCCACCUGCACAGGUGGCAAAAACAAGAGAAGCGAGGAAUCAGCACCUUAUCUUAUAUACAUAUAUAAGAGAGAAUGCUGGCUCUGAGUACAGAGUCCAGAGGAACCUUGAAAACUGCAUAGAGCUAGGUGAAAAAGCCAAAAAAGAAGACCGCAAG